GACGAACGCUGGCGGCGUGCUUAACACGUGCAAGUCGAGCGGAAAGGCCCUGCUUUUGUGGGGUGCUCGAGUGGCGAACGGGUGAGUAACACGUGAGUAACCUGCCCUUGACUUUGGGAUAACUUCAGGAAACUGGGGCUAAUACCGGAUAGGAGCUCCUGCUGCAUGGUGGGGGUUGGAAAGUUUCGGCGGUUGGGGAUGGACUCGCGGCUUAUCAGCUUGUUGGUGGGGUAGUGGCUUACCAAGGCUUUGACGGGUAGCCGGCCUGAGAGGGUGACCGGCCACAUUGGGACUGAGAUACGGCCCAGACUCCUACGGGAGGCAGCAGUGGGGAAUAUUGCACAAUGGGCGGAAGCCUGAUGCAGCAACGCCGCGUGCGGGAUGACGGCCUUCGGGUUGUAAACCGCUUUCGCCUGUGACGAAGCGUGAGUGACGGUAAUGGGUAAAGAAGCACCGGCUAACUACGUG
This 468-nucleotide ribosomal RNA is filed under the name uncultured bacterium. RNAcentral describes it as "partial 16S ribosomal RNA". It matches the Rfam family "Bacterial small subunit ribosomal RNA", at positions 28 to 507 of the family's 1533-position model. The record is from RNAcentral.